GGGCGAAUGGUUUAGUGGUAUAAUACUCCCUUAGCAAGAUUCUCCAUCUGAGUCCUAACAUGGGAGUGGUCCGGGGUUCGAUUCCCCGUUUGUCCA
Molecule: non-coding RNA, 96 nt
Organism: Epichloe festucae Fl1
Lineage: Eukaryota; Fungi; Ascomycota; Sordariomycetes; Hypocreales; Clavicipitaceae
Source: the annotation of a GenBank genome assembly